RNAcentral lists this ribosomal RNA (500 nucleotides) under uncultured bacterium. Its description in RNAcentral is "partial 16S ribosomal RNA". It matches the Rfam family "Bacterial small subunit ribosomal RNA", at positions 30 to 523 of the family's 1533-position model. The record is from RNAcentral.
AUUGAACGCUGGCGGAAUGCUUUACACAUGCAAGUCGAACGGCAGCACGGACUUCGGUCUGGUGGCGAGUGGCGAACGGGUGAGUAAUGUAUCGGAACGUGCCCAGUCGUGGGGGAUAACGUAGAGUACAUUACGCUAAUACUGCAUACGCACAAUGGAUGAAAGCGGGGGAUCGCAAGACCUCGCGCGAUUGGAGCGGCCGAUAUCAGAUUAGGUAUUUGGUGGGGUAGAGGCCCACCAAGCCAACGAUCUGUAGCUGGCCUGAGAGGACAGCCAGCCACACUGGAACUGAGACACGGUCCAGACUCCAACGGGAGGCAGCAGUGGGGAAUUUUGGACAAUGGUCGAAAGCCUGAUCCAGCCAUUCCGCGUGCAGGAUGAAGGCCCUCGGGUUGUAAACUGCUUUUGUACAGAACGAAAAGGUUUCUACUAAUACUAGGAGCUCAUGACGGUACUGUAAGAAUAAGCACCGGCUAACUACGUGCCAGCCGCCGCGGUAA